AUUACCUUGGCAGAUGAAUGUGCUAGAUUUAGGAUCUAGUAAUAUAGUGGUUACUAUAGGUAAUA
This 65-nucleotide transfer RNA is filed under the name Caridina indistincta A. RNAcentral's name for it is "tRNA-Leu". The record is from RNAcentral. Lineage: Eukaryota; Metazoa; Arthropoda; Malacostraca; Decapoda; Atyidae.